ACUACCUAGACCACCAGCUAAUUUAGCCUCCAAAAGACCCCCACGUCAGAUUGCUCAUUCAGGACCUUUGGUGUCAAAAGUCCAGGAACUUUCUUCCACAAAUAAAAUGGCAGUGUCUUCGACUGCUUCUACUCUACCAACACCUCCAGCUCUUCCUCGUAGUUACUCCAUACCAUCUAGGGGUCAGAUAGAAACAGCUUUCCUGGCAGUGUCUUCAACUGCUUCUACACUACCAACACCUCCAGCUCUUCCUCGUAGUUACUCCAUACCAUCUAGGGGUCAGAUAGAAACAGCUUUCCAUGUUUCUAAGCCACUGGAAGAUAUGGCUUCACCUCCUUUAACGCCAAUAGCCUUCGGGAACACCCAGCAUUCUCCCCCUGCUUCAUAGCCUCCAAACUAGCUAGUCAAAUUAAAGGUGUAACUACGCGAGCUGCCAGUACUUUUCUGACUUUCCUGAGGAGCUUAGUUGUUCUAUCAGUGCAACCCAGUUAGGGUGAAAGGCAACAUUUGGUAGGGUAUCCUAAUGUGCAGCAAUUGAGUCUUCUGUUGCUUCUGAUGUAUGGUGGCAUUUUUGUAUUUACCGUAAGUAUAUCUAUUUUGCUUUUCUCAUUUAGAUGUAGGCUUCUUCACCUUGUAACUAUUUAAAGCUUCUAUGAGACCAAACAAGUGGCUUAGGUAGCUUUGUAUUAAAAUCUUUCUGUAAAUAUCCCAAAAAUAACCUAUCCGGAGGGAGAAAAGGAGUACAAAAUGUGGAGAAAAUCAAAGUCCAUGGAAAUAAUGCAUUUUCUUUUACUUUUUGGUAGUUCGUGGAUAAUUACAAUUCAACUGUCAUAUUGCUAACAACUUCUGUGAGAUAACUAGAACAUUUACAACUCACUUUUUAUGGAGCUUAAUGUAACACAAGUGAGCUGUUCGAGCAUAUUGAGAAUAAAUAGAUUGAUUUGAUGCUCACUUCAGGAGGAGGAUGCUGAUAUGAAAUUAUGCAUCUAUGAGAUAGUUGUAGAUUCACAUUGUUGUUAUAAGUUUGUGUAGUAUUUUUCAUAAGAUAUGGUGAUUCCCAAACACGAGAGGCUAG
Molecule: long non-coding RNA, 1075 nt
Filed under: Nicotiana benthamiana
Lineage: Eukaryota; Viridiplantae; Streptophyta; Magnoliopsida; Solanales; Solanaceae
Description: long non-coding RNA (NBEN_LNC019470)
Source: RNAcentral